RNAcentral lists this long non-coding RNA (2813 nucleotides) under Cricetulus griseus (Chinese hamster). RNAcentral's name for it is "lncRNA (ENSCGRG00015039610.1)". The record is from RNAcentral. Lineage: Eukaryota; Metazoa; Chordata; Mammalia; Rodentia; Cricetidae.
CCUCCUCCAGCGGCAGGAUGUGAGCCACCGGCAAGGAGGGACGCCAAUAAGGCGUCUGAUAAGUCUUAUAAAAUAUAUAGAUUUAUGAUAAUUAAGACUGAGCUAACAGAUGAGAAUCCUAGUCAUUGGCCAAGCAGCUUUGAACCUAAUACACAUUUCUGUGUAUUCAUUUGGACCUAACUGGGGCGGUGGCUGGCGUAAAGCUCACACGUGGCGGUGGGGCUAAGGCGGCAUUUGGCGGAAAGAUUUAUCGUAACAUAAGUGGGGUUGAAUUGCAUGAUGCAACAUUCCCAAAGAAUCAAUAAAAAUUAUGAUUAUAAAAAUAAUAAUAGGGCUGGAGAGAUGGCUCAGAGGUUAAGCGCACCGGCUGCUCUUCCAGAGGUCCUGAGUUCAAUUCCCAGCAACCACAUGGUGGCUCACAACCAUCUGUUAUGAGAUCUGGCGCCCUCUAAUGGUGUGCAGAUAUACAUGGAAGCAGAAUGUUGUAUACAUAAUAAAUAAAUAAAAUCUUUAAAAAAAUAAUAAUUUUAAAAAAAGAGUCCUUUAAAAACAAAUUUACUUCAAGCCAGGUGUGAUAGCACACACUUUUAACCCCAGUACUCCAGGGACAGUGGUAAGUGGAUCUCUGGGAGUUCAAAUCCACCCUUGUCUACAUAGUGAGUUCCAGGACAGCCAAGGCUAUUUAAAGAGACCCUUUCUCAAAAAAAAAAAAAGUUUACUUCUUAGAUUAUUGGUUUGUUGCUAACUAAAUAUGAUCCAGAGUCUUAUGAAUUCCUAAUGCUCAGACUAUCUAUCCACUUAUCUGUUCAUACCAACCAAGCAGUGCUAGUAAGAUGUCCAGUGUUUUCAGUUUACUGAAUUGUGAAAAUUCCACAAGCAUCAGAUGUAAAUGUCAUAGAAUUCCAAAGCCCAAACCAUAGUGAAUGUUAACUUUAACUGUCCUAGAGGAAAGAAAUGUGGGCAUUAAUAUUUACUGAACACUAUAAGCUAAACACACAUACUAUGAUUUUUAAUGUUUUUGAAACACUCAGCUGUGCAGUAACUUUGGCUGGUCAAAACCACUAUUUCUUAUUUAAAAAAUGAACGGAGUACACCUGGGAAAACAUAGUGUUUUCGUAUGUAGCCCAGGCUUCAACUGUGAAGUUUUCAGAACUAACUUCUCAUCGGUUAUCAUUUUCAUUAAUUAAAAUGAUUUGAGUAAGAAAAAAAUAAAAUAAAAUAAUGAAUGGAGAAAAGAUGAGAUGCAUGAGUAUAUCAAAUUCAGUCAUUGGAAAUGCUAGUUCAUAAAAUCUCUGUUCCAGUGACCCUCAGGUGUAUGGGUGGUUUUAUUGCCUAAUGUUAUUAAAUUGUCUUUCUCACUCCAGAUUUGCUGAGAAGCAUUUGAAGAACACAUCUCCAUAAACAGUUACUAUCAAAUCCAUUUAUAUAGGAAUGUGCUAAGGUCCAGAGAUCUUAAAUAGCAGGCCUAUGUUUACAUAGCCAGGAAUGGCAGGACCUAUUUUGGUGUCUCCUGGAGGAAACAAACCUUGGUAUGAAUAAAGAAAAGAUGUCUGCAGAGGAGAACCAGGAAGGAUAAUAAUUAGUGUUUGGAAAUAUUUUAUUUAGUGACAAUAUUGCAACUUCCUAGUUUUAUGGUUUAGACAGCACUUUCCAGGACUUUGAUAUAUGAACUGUCAUAACUCUAGCCCCAGUCUGAACCCCAGGCACACCACAGACUGCUUCCCUGGGUCCUCCCGGCUUCACAAGCCAUCCAGAUUCCCAGAGGCUAAGUGGGUGACCUGGGGCACACCUGGCUGUCUUGGCACAGCCACUAAGCGCACACAUUCCCUCAUAAGUGCCGCACCUGGACAAACAGGACUCAUACUUUUUGGCUCCAAGGACAAUAUUUCUUUGCUGGAUCAUUUUCCUGUCUGCAUCCCCGGCCAUCCCACAGAGAAAUGCCCUCCUCGUGUUGUCUGUAAAACCCCAGGAAUGCCUCUCCUGACACUUCAGCCUUUCGUAGUGGUUUGGGCAAUUUGGAAAUACAAUUAAAGCAAUAGUUUAGUGAUUUUUCUGUGCCUCCUCUGUUUUUGCAAGCCCCACGGAUUAUUAUUUUUACUGUGGCUGUGAAGAGCCCUGAUCUUGUCCACUAAAUCCUUCUAUCUAAUGAGCAAUGGCUUAACAAAAGUCCCAAAGCCAUAAACUUGGAGGUUAUCCUUUCCAGGCCACCAAUGAGGUGUCCACCGAUGAUGGAGUUUCUGUCCCACCAAGGCCCACAGUCAUUUGGUCCCAAAUAAACACACAGAGGCUCAUGACUAAGACGGAGAUUAACUCUCUCUUAAUUAUUAACCCAUUUCUGUUAAUCUAUGUAUCUCCAUUUGGUCCUGGCUUACCAGAAAAAAAUCUCAGCAUCCUACCUUCCUGGUGGCUACAUGGCCUCUCCGUCUGGAAACCACUUUUGUACCUUUCCUUUUCCAGAAUUCUCCUAGUCUGGUAGCCCGGCCUAUACUUCCUGCCUGGCUACUGGCCAAUCAGCAUUUGUUCAUUAACCAAUAAGAGAAACAUAUUCACAGAAGGACAUCCUCCAUCAAUCCAUCUUCGGAUAAAUGUUCUUUGUAUGGGUUUGGGAGUAUCUUUGAAUGAGUGAACGGUCAGGAGAGAGGAGCUAGUGAGCCUCUGCUUUGUCUGAAGAGGAGGAAGGGACUCCAGUCUCUACCAUUGGGUGGGAGCAAUGGCUGGGCAAGUCUUGCUCACUCUGGGAAAAUACUGACUUUGGUGGCUUGGUUAAGGGGGUAUGCCAGCUAUGUGAUUUAUGUGUCAAUGCAAAAACAGAC